UACGAAGGGGGCUAGCGUUGCUCGGAAUUACUGGGCGUAAAGGGAGCGUAGGCGGACAUUUAAGUCAGAGGUGAAAUCCCGGAGCUUAACUUCGGAACUGCCUUUGAUACUGGGUGUCUUGAGUGUGAGAGAGGUAUGUGGAACUCCGAGUGUAGAGGUGAAAUUCGUAGAUAUUCGGAAGAACACCAGUGGCGAAGGCGACAUACUGGCUCAUUACUGACGCUGAGGCGCGAAAGCAUGGGGAGCGAACAGG
Molecule: ribosomal RNA, 253 nt
Filed under: uncultured bacterium
Lineage: Bacteria
Description: partial 16S ribosomal RNA
Rfam family: Bacterial small subunit ribosomal RNA
Source: RNAcentral